CGCCGCCUCACCUCCCUGUUUUGUAUCAAUCCACUGAACUUAGUUCAAUGCCAGAACAUCCAAAGUGUCUUACACAGACUGUUGGUGGGAGGUGAUUCUCUUAGGGCCCUAGGAAAUCCGAUGGGCAAGUUCAGGAUCCACUUCCAACCUGAUCUCUAGAUGCCCAUCCGCUCCAGGGGAUCCAGAGGAGACUCCGGUCCUUGGAACUUGGACUCGAGCACUGCCCCACCGGUGGUUUUCAUUGUGGAGCCUAAAAGCUGCUGCUGAGUUCCAAU
Molecule: long non-coding RNA, 275 nt
Filed under: Rhinopithecus bieti (black snub-nosed monkey)
Lineage: Eukaryota; Metazoa; Chordata; Mammalia; Primates; Cercopithecidae
Description: lncRNA (ENSRBIG00000045839.1)
Source: RNAcentral